Molecule: ribosomal RNA, 497 nt
Filed under: uncultured bacterium
Lineage: Bacteria
Description: partial 16S ribosomal RNA
Rfam family: Bacterial small subunit ribosomal RNA
Source: RNAcentral
GACGAACGCUGGCGGCGUGCCUAAUACAUGCAAGUAGAACGCUGAAGAGAGGAGCUUGCUCUUCUUGGAUGAGUUGCGAACGGGUGAGUAACGCGUAGGUAACCUGCCUUGUAGCGGGGGAUAACUAUUGGAAACGAUAGCUAAUACCGCAUAACAAUAGGUGACACAUGUCAUUUAUUUGAAAGGGGCAAUUGCUCCACUACAAGAUGGACCUGCGUUGUAUUAGCUAGUAGGUGAGGUAACGGCUCACCUAGGCGACGAUACAUAGCCGACCUGAGAGGGUGAUCGGCCACACUGGGACUGAGACACGGCCCAGACUCCUACGGGAGGCAGCAGUAGGGAAUCUUCGGCAAUGGGGGCAACCCUGACCGAGCAACGCCGCGUGAGUGAAGAAGGUUUUCGGAUCGUAAAGCUCUGUUGUAAGUCAAGAACGAGUGUGAGAGUGGAAAGUUCACACUGUGACGGUAGCUUAACAGAAAGGGACGGCUAACUACGUG